This 73-nucleotide transfer RNA is filed under the name Bacteriophage sp. RNAcentral describes it as "tRNA-Arg". It matches the Rfam family "tRNA". Rfam says of the family: Transfer RNA (tRNA) molecules are approximately 80 nucleotides in length. The record is from RNAcentral. RNAcentral also lists the same sequence under 1 other name.
GCGCUUUUAAUUUAAAGGGAUAGAAUACCACCCUCCGAAGGUGGCGGUGCGGGUUCAAUUCCCGCCGGGCGCA